UCCUUGGGACUUUUUCUUCUAGGUCUGCAGCUGUUCUCUUCUGUGAGCUCACCCUACCCCUUCUCCUCCUCCUCCUCCCCCUAAUUGUCUCGAGGGUAUCCAUUCACUUAGAAACUUGCUUCUGGU
RNAcentral lists this long non-coding RNA (126 nucleotides) under Dasypus novemcinctus (nine-banded armadillo). RNAcentral's name for it is "Nuclear enriched abundant transcript 1 conserved region 2 (ENSDNOG00000034405.1)". It matches the Rfam family "Nuclear enriched abundant transcript 1 conserved region 2". The record is from RNAcentral. Lineage: Eukaryota; Metazoa; Chordata; Mammalia; Cingulata; Dasypodidae.